RNAcentral lists this ribosomal RNA (498 nucleotides) under Salmonella enterica subsp. enterica serovar Give. RNAcentral describes it as "partial 16S ribosomal RNA". It matches the Rfam family "Bacterial small subunit ribosomal RNA", at positions 87 to 581 of the family's 1533-position model. RNAcentral also lists the same sequence under 1 other name. The record is from RNAcentral. Lineage: Bacteria; Pseudomonadati; Pseudomonadota; Gammaproteobacteria; Enterobacterales; Enterobacteriaceae.
GCUGACGAGUGGCGGACGGGUGAGUAAUGUCUGGGAAACUGCCUGAUGGAGGGGGAUAACUACUGGAAACGGUGGCUAAUACCGCAUAACGUCGCAAGACCAAAGAGGGGGACCUUCGGGCCUCUUGCCAUCAGAUGUGCCCAGAUGGGAUUAGCUUGUUGGUGAGGUAACGGCUCACCAAGGCGACGAUCCCUAGCUGGUCUGAGAGGAUGACCAGCCACACUGGAACUGAGACACGGUCCAGACUCCUACGGGAGGCAGCAGUGGGGAAUAUUGCACAAUGGGCGCAAGCCUGAUGCAGCCAUGCCGCGUGUAUGAAGAAGGCCUUCGGGUUGUAAAGUACUUUCAGCGGGGAGGAAGGUGUUGUGGUUAAUAACCGCAGCAAUUGACGUUACCCGCAGAAGAAGCACCGGCUAACUCCGUGCCAGCAGCCGCGGUAAUACGGAGGGUGCAAGCGUUAAUCGGAAUUACUGGGCGUAAAGCGCACGCAGGCGGUCU